CCUACGGGAGGCAGCAGUGGGGAAUAUUGCACAAUGGGGGAAACCCUGAUGCAGCGACGCCGCGUGAGUGAAGAAGUAUUUCGGUACGUAAAGCUCUAUCAGCAGGGAAGAAAAUGACGGUACCUGACUAAGAAGCCCCGGCUAACUACGUGCCAGCAGCCGCGGUAAUACGUAGGGGGCAAGCGUUAUCCGGAUUUACUGGGUGUAAAGGGAGCGUAGACGGCAGCGCAGGUCUGGAGUGAAAUCCCAUGGCUUAACCAUGGAACUGCUUUGGAAACUGUGCAGCGAGAGUGCAGGAGAGGUAAGCGGAAGUCCUAGUGUAGCGGUGAAAUGCGUAGAUAUUAGGGGGAAAACCAGUGGCGAAGGCGGCUUACUGGACUGUAACUGACGUUGAGGCUCGAAAGCGUGGGGAGCAAACAGGAUUAGAUACCCGAGUAGUC
RNAcentral lists this ribosomal RNA (440 nucleotides) under uncultured bacterium. RNAcentral describes it as "partial 16S ribosomal RNA". It matches the Rfam family "Bacterial small subunit ribosomal RNA", at positions 338 to 795 of the family's 1533-position model. The record is from RNAcentral.